GCUCCCUUAGCUCAGGUGGAUAGAGCAUUAGUUUCCUAAACUAUGCGGACAGGUUCGAAUCCUGUAGGGGGCA
This 73-nucleotide transfer RNA is filed under the name Leptospira sp. RNAcentral describes it as "tRNA-Arg". It matches the Rfam family "tRNA". Rfam says of the family: Transfer RNA (tRNA) molecules are approximately 80 nucleotides in length. Lineage: Bacteria; Pseudomonadati; Spirochaetota; Leptospiria; Leptospirales; Leptospiraceae. RNAcentral also lists the same sequence under 1 other name. The record is from RNAcentral.